RNAcentral lists this ribosomal RNA (253 nucleotides) under uncultured bacterium. RNAcentral describes it as "partial 16S ribosomal RNA". It matches the Rfam family "Bacterial small subunit ribosomal RNA", at positions 524 to 776 of the family's 1533-position model. The record is from RNAcentral.
UACGGAGGGGACUAGCGUUGUUCGGAAUUACUGGGCGUAAAGCGCACGUAGGCGGAUUUGUAAGUCAGUGGUGAAAUCCCGGGGCUCAACCUCGGAACUGCCUUUGAUACUGCAAAUCUCGAGUCCGGAAGAGGUGAGUGGAAUUCCUAGUGUAGAGGUGAAAUUCGUAGAUAUUAGGAAGAACACCAGUGGCGAAGGCGGCUCACUGGUCCGGUACUGACGCUGAGGUGCGAAAGCGUGGGGAGCAAACAGG